RNAcentral lists this ribosomal RNA (252 nucleotides) under uncultured bacterium. RNAcentral's name for it is "partial 16S ribosomal RNA". It matches the Rfam family "Bacterial small subunit ribosomal RNA", at positions 524 to 777 of the family's 1533-position model. The record is from RNAcentral.
UACGAAGGGGGCUAGCGUUGCUCGGAAUCACUGGGCGUAAAGGGUGCGUAGGCGGGUCUUUAAGUCAGGGUGAAUCCGUGGAGCUCAACUCCAGAACUGCCUUUGAUACUGAGGAUCUUGAGUUCGGGAGAGGUGAGUGGAACUGCGAGUGUAGAGGUGAAAUUCGUAGAUAUUCGCAAGAACACCAGUGGCGAAGGCGGCUCACUGGCCCGAUACUGACGCUGAGGCACGAAAGCGUGGGAGCAAACAGGG